Molecule: long non-coding RNA, 526 nt
Filed under: Bos taurus (domestic cattle)
Lineage: Eukaryota; Metazoa; Chordata; Mammalia; Artiodactyla; Bovidae
Description: long non-coding RNA NONBTAT019758
Source: RNAcentral
GUAGUGAAUGAGUUUGCAUUUUUGACUGAGAAGUGUUUUAAAAGCCUCUUAAAGUUCUGUAGGAAAAAAAAAAGUCUUGAUUACCAGGAACAUUUGGGAAAUUGGAGACCUGGUUCUUAUUUGUUAUAAGUCAAACCCCUUUCAGUUGUAAUUCUUGGUGCUAUUUUGCCUGAACCACAUCUCUCUUUUGCGUCAAUAGGUGAAAGGUGGCAAAUGGGAUAUGCAUUUUGUACUGCUAGGAUUGAGGACUAGAGACACCGGUUUGGGAAUCGAGCAAGGGAUCUGGAGCAGAGCCUUCGUAAAUCCCCAUUUAUCUGCUUGCUUUCAGAGAAUUUUGUUUUUCUCCAAAAGCAGAGGGUAAAAAUAGUCAAUUAAAUGAAAGUUUCUUUUUGCUGAAUUCUGAUUAGUUUUCUCUUUCCUUCUGAAGUGCUAAGAAUAUUUUCUUAGCAGUAAUCGAGAAUAUUAUAAAUGUUGCCGUAGAGAGAGGUUUUGACCACAUUUGCAGGUUUCUUCCUGCUUGAGUAGG